RNAcentral lists this ribosomal RNA (478 nucleotides) under uncultured bacterium. RNAcentral's name for it is "partial 16S ribosomal RNA". It matches the Rfam family "Bacterial small subunit ribosomal RNA", at positions 28 to 523 of the family's 1533-position model. The record is from RNAcentral.
GACGAACGCUGGCGGCGUGCUUAACACAUGCAAGUCGAACGGUAAGGCCCUUCGGGGUACACGAGUGGCGAACGGGUGAGUAACACGUGGGUGAUCUGCCCUGCACUUCGGGAUAAGCCUGGGAAACUGGGUCUAAUGCCGGAUAGGACUCCUGGCUUCAUGGUUGGGGGUGGAAAGCUUUUGCGGUGUGGGAUGGGCCCGCGGCCUAUCAGCUUGUUGGUGGGGGAAUGGCCGACCAAGGCGACGACGGGUAGCCGGCCUGAGAGGGUGACCGGUCACACUGGGACUGAGAUACGGCCCAGGCUCCUACGGGAGGCAGCAGUGGGGAAUAUUGCACAAUGGGCGCAAGCCUGAUGCAGCGACGCCGCGUGAGGGAUGACGGCCUUCGGGUUGUAAACCUCUUUCAGCUAUGACGAAGCGCAAGUGACGGUAGUAGCAGAAGAAGGACCGGCCAACUACGUGCCAGCCGCCGCGGUAA